UACGUGAGCCCCAAGCGUUAUCCGGAAUUACUGGGCGUAAAGAGUGCGUAGGUUGUUGUAUUAGUCUCUUGCUAAAUCCAUCGGCUCAACCGAUGAACUCCAAGGGAAACGGUACAACUGGAGUAUGUGAGAGGUGUGCGGAACUCAUGGUGUAGGGGUGAAAUCCGUUGAUAUCAUGGGGAACACCAAAUGCGAAGGCAGCACACUGGCACAUUACUGACACUGAGGCACGAAAGCGUGGGUAGCGAAUGGG
Molecule: ribosomal RNA, 253 nt
Filed under: uncultured bacterium
Lineage: Bacteria
Description: partial 16S ribosomal RNA
Rfam family: Bacterial small subunit ribosomal RNA
Source: RNAcentral